GACGAACGCUGGCGGCGUGCUUAACACAUGCAAGUCGAGCGGUAAGGCCCUUUCGGGGGUACACGAGCGGCGAACGGGUGAGUAACACGUGGGUGACCUGCCCUCAGCUCUGGGAUAAGCCUGGGAAACCGGGUCUAAUACUGGAUAUGACUCCAUGACGCAUGUUGUGGGGUGGAAAGCCUUGUGCGGCUGAGGAUGGGCCCGCGGCCUAUCAGCUUGUUGGUGGGGUGANGGCCUACCAAGGCGACGACGGGUAGCCGGCCUGAGAGGGCGACCGGCCACACUGGGACUGAGACACGGCCCAGACUCCUACGGGAGGCAGCAGUGGGGAAUCUUGCGCAAGUGGGCGAAAGCCUGACGCAGCGACGCCGCGUGAGGGAUGACGG
This 386-nucleotide ribosomal RNA is filed under the name uncultured bacterium. Its description in RNAcentral is "bacterial SSU rRNA". It matches the Rfam family "Bacterial small subunit ribosomal RNA", at positions 28 to 414 of the family's 1533-position model. The record is from RNAcentral.